Molecule: ribosomal RNA, 97 nt
Filed under: uncultured bacterium
Lineage: Bacteria
Description: partial 16S ribosomal RNA
Rfam family: Bacterial small subunit ribosomal RNA
Source: RNAcentral
UACACACCGCCCGUCACGCCAUGGAAGCUGGAGGGACCCGAAGCCGGUGUGCCAACCGCAGGAGCAACCGUCUAAGGUCAAUUCAGUGACUGGGGCG